AAGUGCUAAAAUCACACUUGAUUUACCAUUAUUCCCACAACAAUUUUGUAAUAUUGAUGUGAUAGUUUUCCUCAAAAGAGCGAUGCUCACACAUCAUUAUGCUAGUAAUUAAAAAAAAAAAAACAUAAUAACAAAAGGAAUAAAAGGGCUUAUUGUGUUGAAUACAUAUGUUUACAGAGGCUCAAAACCUUUUUGAUGUCAGUGUGUGUGUGUGUGUGUGUGUGUGUGUGUAUAUAUGUGUGUGUUAAGCACGUUUUUUUUUAUUAGUUUUGCUCUCUGUUUGGCUGCACGCAGGCCGAGGAGAAGCCGUUAUCAGAGAAAAGCCUCCCCUCGUCUCCCUCUGGCUUACAGGAUCAACUCAAAAGCAAUAUACUGAGACAUGUGAGACAGAGUGAGAGCGGUGGAAGCUCGAGGGGGAACUCCUCCAGUGGAGACCAGAACAACAGACUUCCCAGCUCCUCUCAGGAUUCAGCCUCCAGCAGUGUGAAUCUGGAGAGGCCGAGAGUGGAGCGCCGCAAACGCCUCGUCAGACAGUACAGCUUCAACCACAGUGAUGAAGAUGACCUCCCAGAAGCACUUGCUGCCAUAUCUUCUGAGAGCAGCAUGGGAAAAUCCACGUCCAGCAGCUCUCUGGACAAACAGGUCCAGCCUCCAAUCUACCCACCGCAGAAAAGUGUCCCACCGCCACUGGAGCACUGUGACAAAUCCCCUCUGUUCUAUCCAAGCCCAGUCCCUCACCUACUGCCAUUCAGCCCACACUCCAACAGCAAUGAAGAGCUGAAAAUGGAUCGAGAGAAACUGCUGAGAGCCUUAUUAAUGACAGAGCUCUGAAACCAUAUGGACGUCCAGAUGCAUUAUAUAACCGAACAGAACACCUUAAAUUCAUUGCACUGUACUUUUUAUACAUUCACACAACAAAACAGAAAACUAUUUUUUAACGAUGAAGCUUAUCUCCUAUACAGUAAACCACAUCCGCAGAUCCAUCCAUGUUUAUAUGUGUAAUUUUAUCCCCUGUGUAUAUGUCCUGAUGGCUUUGAACUGUGCCUGGAAGUCAUGUUACAGUAAUGUUGCAUAAUCUUUUCUUACUGGGUUCUCUGUUGGCUUGUCAGGCUUCUUAUUUCUAUUCACUGAAGCACAUUGUGAAGAGCAGAAUCUCACGGGGACGCGUUUGUUUGAGUUACACCUGAUAUACGUGACACCCUGUACAUACUGACUGUAAAUACGCUGUAUAGAGUGAACACUAUCAUUUUCAAUGUGCUUUCUAACAUUUUAAGGGGAAUUUUUUGCAAACGUGAUGCAGUAUUUCAUUUUAUAUGCAUUUCUGCUCCCAGUGUGAUAAACAAACACUUGCUGAAUAAAUCUGCUUUCUUCUCAAUUUAAACC
This 1383-nucleotide long non-coding RNA is filed under the name Astyanax mexicanus (Mexican tetra). Its description in RNAcentral is "lncRNA (ENSAMXG00005003591.1)". The record is from RNAcentral. Lineage: Eukaryota; Metazoa; Chordata; Actinopteri; Characiformes; Acestrorhamphidae.